GAUGAAGAACGCAGCGAAAUGUGAUAAGUAAUGUGAAUUGCAGAAUUCAGUGAAUCAUCGAAUCUUUGAACGCACAUUGCGCCCCCUGGUAUUCCGGGGGGCAUGCCUGUUCGAGCGUCAUUUCACCACUCAAGCCUCGCUUGGUAUUGGGCAUCGCGGUCCGCCGCGCGCCUCAAAUCGACCGGCUGGGUCUUCUGUCCCCUAAGCGUUGUGGAAACUAUUCGCUAAAGGGUGUUCGGGAGGCUACGCCGUAAAACAACCCCAUUUCUAAGGUUGACCUCGGAUCAGGUAGGGAUACCCGCUGAACUUAAGCAUAUCAAUAAGCGGAGGA
This 331-nucleotide unclassified non-coding RNA is filed under the name soil metagenome. RNAcentral's name for it is "partial contains 5.8S ribosomal RNA, internal transcribed spacer 2, and large subunit ribosomal RNA". The stretch from base 1 to 120 matches the Rfam family "5.8S ribosomal RNA", at positions 35 to 154 of the family's 154-position model. The record is from RNAcentral.